GCAACCGCGGUUAGACCACACACCCCCAGUCAAUGUAAUGGCGGCAGAAAAGAUGGUUAAUCAUAGUUUUAAUUUUGGUGGCAGCCUAGUGAGGGGCUUACAAGUUGGGUGUAAUCAAGUAAGUCAAUAUCAGCUUUGCAGAGAUAGGCAGGAGAAGAUGAAGUCCAUGUGACCUAGGUCAGCGGACCAGGAUUUGAUACCCUGUUACUCUAGGUGUUAAGUACGGACCAGUUUAGUGGUUCUGCCGGGCAACUACGUUCUAACGAGUAAAAGUCGAAGUACCUGGCGGUUUAAGAUAUCUCGUCUCGUGAGACUUGACGGUUAAUCCGAUAAUCCGCGUUACACCGUACCUGCCUUUGUGUUGAGUAUCAGUUGGUGUAUGGUCGUUGUCAGCUCUUACUGAUGAGGUAUUAAGGAAUGUGGCAUGGUUCGUUUGGAUCCCUGAAAUUUUUUGGGUGAAAUGCAAAUAGCAGAAUAUAAAACGAAGGAAGUCAGAUCGUUAUGCCGCCCAUGGGCGGGGCUUAGUUGAGUCACAUUGAUUAGAUCGGCGGAAGCUUUUUUGAAAUAAAGAGCGAAAGAAGGAAUGAGUAGUAAUGAAAAAUUAGUACGUUUUCAUGAAUGGUAAAUUCUUAAGUGUACAAAUCGCCCGUCGCCUCCGGGGAGACUUGGAGAAAGUCGUAACAUAGUAGGAAUACGGGAACGUGUGUCCU
Molecule: ribosomal RNA, 710 nt
Filed under: Trisidos kiyonoi
Lineage: Eukaryota; Metazoa; Mollusca; Bivalvia; Arcoida; Arcidae
Description: 12S ribosomal RNA
Rfam family: Bacterial small subunit ribosomal RNA
Source: RNAcentral